RNAcentral lists this ribosomal RNA (2652 nucleotides) under Citrobacter freundii. Its description in RNAcentral is "partial 23S ribosomal RNA". It matches the Rfam family "Bacterial large subunit ribosomal RNA". Lineage: Bacteria; Pseudomonadati; Pseudomonadota; Gammaproteobacteria; Enterobacterales; Enterobacteriaceae. The record is from RNAcentral.
GAUUAAGUUAUUAAGGGCGCACGGUGGAUGCCUUGGCACUAGAAGCCGAUGAAGGACGUUACUAACGACGAUAUGCUUUGGGUAGCUGUAAGUAAGCGUUGAUCCAGAGAUUUCCGAAUGGGGGAACCCAGCAUGAGUUAUGUCAUGUUAUCGACAUGUGAAUUCAUAGCAUGUCAGAAGGCAGACCCGGAGAACUGAAACAUCUUAGUACCCGGAGGAAGAGAAAGAAAAAUCGAUUCCCUGAGUAGCGGCGAGCGAAACGGGAAGAGCCCAAACCAACAAGCUUGCUUGUUGGGGUUGUAGGACACUCUAUACGGAGUUACAAAAGAACAUGUUAGACGAAUCAUUCUCUCUUGAGUGGAUCCUGAGUACGACGGAGCACGUGAAAUUCCGUCGGAAUCUGGGAGGACCAUCUCCUAAGGCUAAAUACUCUCUAGUGACCGAUAGUGAACCAGUACCGUGAGGGAAAGGUGAAAAGUACCCCGGAAGGGGAGUGAAAGAGAACUUGAAACCGUGUGCUUACAAGUAGUCAGAGCCCGUUAAUGGGUGAUGGCGUGCCUUUUGUAGAAUGAACCGGCGAGUUACGAUCUGAUGCAAGGUUAAGCAGCAAAUGUGGAGCCGCAGCGAAAGCGAGUCUGAAUAGGGCGUUGAGUAUUUGGUCGUAGACCCGAAACCAGGUGAUCUACCCUUGGUCAGGUUGAAGUUCAGGUAACACUGAAUGGAGGACCGAACCGACUUACGUUGAAAAGUGAGCGGAUGAACUGAGGGUAGCGGAGAAAUUCCAAUCGAACUUGGAGAUAGCUGGUUCUCUCCGAAAUAGCUUUAGGGCUAGCCUCAAGUGAUGAUUAUUGGAGGUAGAGCACUGUUUGGACGAGGGGCCCCUCUCGGGUUACCGAAUUCAGACAAACUCCGAAUGCCAAUUAAUUUAACUUGGGAGUCAGAACAUGGGUGAUAAGGUCCGUGUUCGAAAGGGAAACAGCCCAGACCACCAGCUAAGGUCCCAAAAUAUAUGUUAAGUGGAAAAGGAUGUGGCGUUGCCCAGACAACUAGGAUGUUGGCUUAGAAGCAGCCAUCAUUUAAAGAGUGCGUAAUAGCUCACUAGUCGAGUGACACUGCGCCGAAAAUGUACCGGGGCUAAACAUAUUACCGAAGCUGUGGAUUGUCCUUUGGACAAUGGUAGGAGAGCGUUCUAAGGGCGUCGAAGCAUGAUCGCAAGGACAUGUGGAGCGCUUAGAAGUGAGAAUGCCGGUGUGAGUAGCGAAAGACGGGUGAGAAUCCCGUCCACCGAUUGAGAGGCCGACAGGCGUAGGCGAUGGAUAACAGGUUGAUAUUCCUGUACCACCUAGUAUCGUUUUAAUCGAUGGGGGGACGCAGUAGGAUAGGCGAAGCGUGCUGUUGGAGUGCACGUCCAAGCAGUAAGGCUGAGUGUUAGGCAAAUCCGGCACUCAUAAGGCUGAGCUGUGAUGGGGAGAGGAAAUUGUUUCCUCGAGUCGUUGAUUUCACACUGCCGAGAAAAGCCUCUAGAUAGAUAACAGGUGCCCGUACCGCAAACCGACACAGGUAGUCAAGAUGAGAAUUCUAAGGUGAGCGAGCGAACUCUCGUUAAGGAACUCGGCAAAAUGACCCCGUAACUUCGGGAGAAGGGGUGCUCUUUAGGGUUCACGCCCAGAAGAGCCGCAGUGAAUAGGCCCAAGCGACUGUUUAUCAAAAACACAGGUCUCUGCUAAACCGUAAGGUGAUGUAUAGGGGCUGACGCCUGCCCGGUGCUGGAAGGUUAAGAGGAGUGGUUAGCUUCUGCGAAGCUACGAAUCGAAGCCCCAGUAAACGGCGGCCGUAACUAUAACGGUCCUAAGGUAGCGAAAUUCCUUGUCGGGUAAGUUCCGACCCGCACGAAAGGCGUAACGAUUUGGGCACUGUCUCAACGAGAGACUCGGUGAAAUCAUAGUACCUGUGAAGAUGCAGGUUACCCGCGACAGGACGGAAAGACCCCGUGGAGCUUUACUGUAGCCUGAUAUUGAAAUUCGGCACAGCUUGUACAGGAUAGGUAGGAGCCUUUGAAACGUGAGCGCUAGCUUACGUGGAGGCGUUGGUGGGAUACUACCCUAGCUGUGUUGGCUUUCUAACCCGCACCACUUAUCGUGGUGGGAGACAGUGUCAGGCGGGCAGUUUGACUGGGGCGGUCGCCUCCUAAAAGGUAACGGAGGCGCUCAAAGGUUCCCUCAGAAUGGUUGGAAAUCAUUCAUAGAGUGUAAAGGCAUAAGGGAGCUUGACUGCGAGACCUACAAGUCGAGCAGGGUCGAAAGACGGACUUAGUGAUCCGGUGGUUCCGCAUGGAAGGGCCAUCGCUCAACGGAUAAAAGCUACCCCGGGGAUAACAGGCUUAUCUCCCCCAAGAGUUCACAUCGACGGGGAGGUUUGGCACCUCGAUGUCGGCUCAUCGCAUCCUGGGGCUGUAGUCGGUCCCAAGGGUUGGGCUGUUCGCCCAUUAAAGCGGUACGCGAGCUGGGUUCAGAACGUCGUGAGACAGUUCGGUCCCUAUCCGUCGUGGGCGUAGGAAAUUUGAGAGGAGCUGUCCUUAGUACGAGAGGACCGGGAUGGACAUACCUCUGGUGUACCAGUUGUCGUGCCAACGGCAUAGCUGGGUAGCUAUGU